GACGAACGCUGGCGGCGUGCUUAACACAUGCAAGUCGAACGGAAAGGCCCCUUUGGGGGUACUCGAGUGGCGAACGGGUGAGUAACACGUGAGUAACCUGCCCUUGACUUCGGGAUAACUUCAGGAAACUGGGGCUAAUACCGGAUAGGAAUCCUUGCUGCAUGGUGGGGGUUGGAAAGCUUCGGCGGUUUUGGAUGGACUCGCGGCUUAUCAGCUUGUUGGUGGGGUAGUGGCUUACCAAGGCUUUGACGGGUAGCCGGCCUGAGAGGGCGACCGGCCACAGUGGGACUGGGAUACGGCCCAGACUCCUACGGGAGGCAGCAGUGGGGAAUAUUGCACAAUGGGCGGAAGCCUGAUGCAGCAACGCCGCGUGCGGGAUGACGGCCUUCGGGUUGUAAACCGCUUUCAGCAGGGGCGAAGCUUGUGGUGACGGUACCUGCAGAAGAAGCACCGGCUAACUACGUG
RNAcentral lists this ribosomal RNA (465 nucleotides) under uncultured bacterium. RNAcentral's name for it is "partial 16S ribosomal RNA". It matches the Rfam family "Bacterial small subunit ribosomal RNA", at positions 28 to 507 of the family's 1533-position model. The record is from RNAcentral.